UUACGACCAUAUCGCGUUGAAACACCGGUUCUCGUUCGAUCACCGAAGUUAAGUAACCUCCGGUCUUGUUAGUGCCUAGAGGGGUGACUUUUUAGGAAAGCCAGCUGUUGUAA
Molecule: non-coding RNA, 113 nt
Organism: Acanthosepion pharaonis
Lineage: Eukaryota; Metazoa; Mollusca; Cephalopoda; Sepiida; Sepiidae
Source: the annotation of a GenBank genome assembly